CCUACGGGUGGCAGCAGUGGGGAAUAUUGCACAAUGGGGGAAACCCUGAUGCAGCGAAGCCGCGUGAGUGAAGACGUAUUUAGGUAUGUAAAGCUCUAUCAGCCGGGAAGAAAAUGACGGUACCUGAUUAAGCAGCACCGGAUAACUACGUGCAAGCAGCCGCUGUAAUACGCAGGGAGCAAGCGUUAUCCGGAUUUACUGGGUGUAAAGGGAGCGUAGUCGGCAGCACAAGUCUGGAGUGAAAUGCCGGGGCUGAACCCCGUAACUGCGUUUGAAACUGUGCAGCUAGAGUGCAGGAGAGGUAAGUGGAAUUCGUGGUGUAGCGGUGAAAUGCGUAGAUAUUAGGAGGAACACCAGUUGCGAAGGCAGCUUACUGGCGUGUAACUGACGUUGAGGCUCGAAAGCGGGGGGAGCGAACAGGAUUAGAUACCCGAGUAGUC
This 440-nucleotide ribosomal RNA is filed under the name uncultured bacterium. RNAcentral describes it as "partial 16S ribosomal RNA". It matches the Rfam family "Bacterial small subunit ribosomal RNA", at positions 338 to 795 of the family's 1533-position model. The record is from RNAcentral.